RNAcentral lists this ribosomal RNA (499 nucleotides) under Corethron hystrix. Its description in RNAcentral is "partial Bacterial large subunit ribosomal RNA". It matches the Rfam family "Bacterial large subunit ribosomal RNA", at positions 2053 to 2551 of the family's 2925-position model. The record is from RNAcentral. Lineage: Eukaryota; Bacillariophyta; Corethrophyceae; Corethrales; Corethraceae.
GUGAAGAUGCAGGUUACCCGCGACAGGACGGAAAGACCCCAUGGAGCUUUACUGUAGUUUGAUAUUGAGUGUCUGUACCGCAUGUACAGGAUAGGUAGGAGCCGUAGAAGUCGGGACGCCAGUUUCGACUGAGGCGCUGGUGGGAUACUACCCUUGCGUUAUGGCCACUCUAACCCGCACCACUGAUCGUGGUGGGAGACAGUGUCAGAUGGGCAGUUUGACUGGGGCGGUCGCCUCCUAAAAGGUAACGGAGGCGCCCAAAGGUUCCCUCAGAAUGGUUGGAAAUCAUUCGCAGAGUGUAAAGGCAGAAGGGAGCUUGACUGCGAGAGCUACAACUCGAGCAGGGACGAAAGUCGGGCUUAGUGAUCCGGUGGUUCCGCAUGGAAGGGCCAUCGCUCAACGGAUAAAAGGUACUCCGGGGAUAACAGGCUGAUACCGCCCAAGAGUUCAUAUCGACGGCGGUGUUUGGCACCUCGAUGUCGGCUCAUCACAUCCUGGG